Malaclemys terrapin pileata is the source of this 1809-nucleotide long non-coding RNA. RefSeq lists it as uncharacterized. Lineage: Eukaryota; Metazoa; Chordata; Testudines; Emydidae. The record is from RefSeq and is a predicted model, not a curated record. The transcript has 3 exons.
CAGGACGUUCAACAGUGGGAACCCAGACCCUACAGCUGGUAAGCCGCUGGCUCCAGACUUUGGAGGGCCUGUGAGAGGAAAGGGAUGCCCUGCAGGCCCCACUAUGAAGGAAGCUGGGGUGAUAGGGACCCCUUUCCUCCCCUCCCCCGUGAGCAUUUUUUAAGGGGGAGGGUUUGUGGUGGGACAGCUACCCCACCCCCAUGUGAGAGGGAACUAGAGUAGGCCAGAAUGGCUGUGCAAGCCGUCUUCCAAUCAGGGAAGGGCCUAGUGAGAGCCAAUCAGGGCCGAGAUUAGAGCCAGCCAAUCAGGGCUAGGCUAGGCCCUAUAUAAUGGCUGCCCAGGAGAGCAGCGGGUAGUCUGUCCCAGAAUUUCAUGGGGGAAGGUCUGUCUCCAGAGCAGAAGACCAGCAUCUCGGGCUGGGCAAUACUGCAUCUGGCCAUCCGAUGGCCGAGACAAAUUGUAACCGGCCCUUGAGACAAGGGGCUAGACUUUGGGGGUUGCGGUUGGCUACCGAGGCAGGUGCAAGGACUGUUGCUAACCCCCGCCCCUGGAAUGGGGUGAGGAUGGACUAGUGGGCACUGCUGGAGGCAGUGUCAAGAGGUGAGCAACGUGGCUCCAGAUCCCAACGGAGGAAAAGGGACGGAUGGGACGCUGCCAGCAGAGGGCAUUCCCCAUGGACUGAGCUAAUUCCCAGAGCGACCAGCGGGAGGCGCAAUGCUGGAAUAGGAGCCUCCUUCCAGCUCUCUUCCAGGCCCUGGGAUCUGGCACAGCCUCCCAGACGGGCGCUUCCUGUAGCUGAGCCACGUCAGGGAGCAGCGGGGACAGGUCACCUCGUCCCAGCAAUGCCGGCUCUCAAAGAGGCUUAGAUGGAAGACCCCAGUCCCUCAUUGAGAGGUGGUGUCCAGGAUCCUGGAGACUGUUUCCUGCUGCAGGAGGUUUGUGCGGGGAGAGAUCACUCACUGUCACGCCCCAGGGGUCUCCAACCCGGGUCUGCAGGGUUCAUGGGAGCAGCCACACUCCAACCCUCCACCUGGAAGCCUGCUGAAAAUUGCUUACCUCGGACCCAUGAAGUUCAGCCCCAGUUUGAGGCUCCACUCCUGAGGUCCUAUUGGAGGAGUCCCAGGAAAGCUCACUGGCCCCCUGGCCCUGCGUAAGACAGCAGCAGGAACACGAAGCUGACUGAACACCAGGCCUGCUCCCGGUUCUGGACCGUGCGCUGCCUGGUUCUGCUGCCGCUCCCCUGGCUUGAUUUCCUGGCAUCUGAGUUGUGGUGGUGAUAGCAAGUUUGUCUUUUGCUGCUGAUCUUCCAGUAUCCUGACCUGGCUGACUCUCAGCUCCUGUCAUGUGAGUGUGGACUCUGGCUCUGACCAGUAGGUCUGGCUGCACUUGACCUAGCCAUGACAUUGACUUUGGUACAACUUCUCCAUUGCCCCUUUCUGAUCUCCAGCAAGAUACACCAGUCCCUUGGCUCCCAAAGUCCCAGUUGCCCGCUAUUCAAGGGCUGAGGGGUAGUGCUUGUAUCGCCCCACCCCAGCUGCUUUUCCUAGGGGAAUCUCCCUAGAGCAGAGGAGAAAUCUGCUCUUUUCUUAGGAUCAGUCCCACUCUGGCCUCAGCUCAGCUACUUUGUUUACCUGGGGUCAGGCACCACUUUUGAAGCCCUUAGCGUGGGGGUGGAGGUGGGAGCAGAGGCUGAAGCUCCAGCAGUUUCCACCAAAGAACACCCCCCUGUCUUUCUAUGGUCCGGCUAGGGCCCCCCAUCCAUCCUGGAGCUGAACACCAGAUGGGAGCUGAUGGAUUGUCCUUGGUGGG